GGGCAGCAAGGCUGGGAAUGGCAGAUUGUUAGCAGUGAGCUGGGGCCAGCCUCCCUGCCCCGUGAGCACAUUCCUACUCCAGUGCGACAGUGCAGCCACUCCAGCCUCCAGUCCCUAAGCGAUAAUCCUGGAGCCAGAGCCAGCGCUGCUGCCAGCCUGGAGGGUGAGAAGGAGCAGAUGCCAGCUGUGACCUGGAGGGAAGGGGGACUUAGGAAUGUGGGUUGUUAGACGUGGACUCUGAAAAUGGCCAUCUCCUUCAGAAACAGGAGCGCGUUUCCACUGCAGCAUCUCCAGGGUUUCUUGUCUCCUCGGUCACCGCCAAGUGCAUGUUGCUCAUCAAGGGAUUCCAUCUUAACCGACAACUCAAUCGGCCCAAAUUACAUGAUGUAUGCAAAUUUCCAUCAGCAAAUCAGCGCGGCUGAUCAUCACUCUCAUCAGGGGGCUGCCCUGGUCUCAGGCUCCUGGGGCCCACCCUCUGUUCACCCUCUGCUGACCAAGGGAGGGGCCCCCUGGGGACCAGGAAGUAGCAGGGAGGGCUGGGCAUUGCCUACCACAGAGUAGAACUGCACCCAGGCAGAGGCUGGGGGAUGAGCCAGGCUCUAAAUGCAAGUUGGGUUCCCACCACCAAUUUCCAACGAGAGCAAACUGAGAAAGGAGCUACCAGCCUCUAACUUUAAGCCCAGGGUCUGGUGACACCUCACAAUGGCACUGUCUAUCAGGGAGGCAGUCCCGUACAGCAGAUAAGAGCUCGGACUCUGGAGCCAGACUGCCUGCGUUCAAAUCCCAGGGCUGCCACUCAUCUGCUGUGUGACCUUGGGCAAUUUGCCUAA
Molecule: long non-coding RNA, 830 nt
Filed under: Equus caballus (horse)
Lineage: Eukaryota; Metazoa; Chordata; Mammalia; Perissodactyla; Equidae
Description: lncRNA (ENSECAG00000060352.1)
Source: RNAcentral